Long non-coding RNA from Bombus terrestris (buff-tailed bumblebee), 3988 nucleotides. RefSeq lists it as uncharacterized. The record is from RefSeq and is a predicted model, not a curated record. NCBI's taxonomy places the organism in Eukaryota, Metazoa, Arthropoda, Insecta, Hymenoptera, Apidae. The transcript has 8 exons.
GCAUUUCUUUGCGAGUCUUUCUCCCCACUCGUUCGCACGAGCCACUCCUCCGGUCCUCUUCCUUCAGUAUCUUCUUAUUUUUACACGUUUUUUUUUGUGUAUUUACCUGCACACGUGGAUACACUCGAUGAUGCGGGAACUUCUAUGAUACAGCAAGAAUGUAAUAUAGGUUAAGCAUCAAAGUUGAUAUGCUUCAACGUCAAGACGAGUAAAUUGACACAAACAUGAGGGAAUAAUUCAAAGUUGCAAUCAAUGUUGCAUGCGAUACACUAUUGGAUAAUUUGGGAUUAUUUUUGUGAUAUAUGUACCUACAUAUUAUAUGUAUAUUGAAUCAGUUAAUAAUUUUGUUAUUAAUUCGAAAUUAAUGCCACGCUAUAGAUCAAUAUAUACUUCUGGUUUCAUAGAAAACUUUAUUUAUAUUAUUAUAUUAAACAUUUAUUCAACUGCUGGAUUCCACUAUAAUUAGUAUCAGUGUAUCAAUCGGUAAUGUUAAUUGAUAUUAAAGAUCUUACUAUAUUAUGAAAGUUACUAUAAUACCAUAGGCGAAUAAAAGGAAAAAGAUGAAACUGAUUGAUAAGCAAGUCUAUUAAGAUGGUAUAGUUGAAUUAAUUAAUAAUUGUUGUCUGGAAGUACCGAAUGAGGAAAUAGGUAGAUGCAACAUGUUGAUAAUAUGUAAAAAGACAAAUGACACAUCGUUUGGUGGUGUAUAUGAGCAGUCAUCAAUACAUAUACAAUAAUAAUAAUACAACACGUCUCUGUUCAUAUUUUCGACUCCUGUUUCUUUCUGUCAUAGGUUAAUGUCAGGUUUCACACACCUAAACUUUGCUGGAGAAAUGCUCUUUAAAAUUGAGGAAAACCUCAUCAAAAUAUGUCCUAUAGUUCUUGAGAUUAGCUCGAACUCGGAACAUACAGACGCUUGCCGAGUACUUGAUUUUAUAUUACGUCUAGAUUGAAUACAAAAGAAUAUUUAUUAUAUUCUCUCUCAUGCAAUGUUUGUAUAGUAUACAUGAAGAGAAAAGCACUUCAGUUUGCAUCCAAAACACGGUUUUAAGUAAUUGCUUCUUAACUUGCUGCGCUGCAUGUUUCUUUUUGUAGCGCACAAUUUCAAGGAAACCGUCGCUGUAUAAUUGGUCGCUUUGUAUUUUAUAUCUGUCCACUUUAAUAGUUUUUUCUGCACGACGAGAUGCGCUAUAGGGGACAGUGUGUCCUUGCGUAGCAACGCCGUUGUGUUAUGGUUUCCCCCUUGCUCUUUGAGAUCUCAAGCACAGUGAACCGUAGUUCCUGGUUUUGUCCACUAAAUCGUGCACUACCGACGCUUAAGCUCUGAAAGCCCCUCUUUUGACGCUAGGGGGAUUCUACUUGUUACUGGGAAUCCUUCUGUAUCCCCUUGGGGAUAUGUAUUGCACUCUGUCGAGAUGACGGAAAUUGAGGAAACAAAAUCCGUUGCAGAUAAAAAUAAUUUCAUAAAAGGAUACGUAUGUAAGGAUAGCAAAAUAAGUACCUAAGUUCGACGUUCUUAAUGCGAACUACGAUUCCCUUUAGAUCUUGCAGUUAAGAUCACAGGACGAUCAUUCACCUGCACCUUCGCAGGAUACGCUUCCAAAGCUGUAUUUUAUACCAGGAUGGAAACGCGAUAUUUGGAAACGCGGCGUAGAUAAGUGGAAUGCCCUGUACAGAGACGCGUUUGCAUACACGCCGGUGUAUAUCUAGAUGCUACAUGCAUCUGCGCCCGUCCGUUGAACGUGCAUGCACGCGAGUUUAACGAGCGCGGCAGAGGCUGGCGCCAAACGGCGAUCCUAACAUCGGCCAACCGAUUCGCGAUCUCUGCUUUCUACGAUAAUCCUCUGCGAUGGCAUACUGUUGUCCGCUGUGGAAACGUGAUCGAGCAUGAUCGAGCCUCAUGCUUACAGCCUAUCCUAAUAGAUAUCAUAAUGAACGUACAAAGUCGGGUAAAUACUGGCGUUGCAUAGGUCUGGAGAAUAGGAAUAUUGUGAUAGUAUAAUAGUACAGAAUUAUACAUCAUAUUUUUUAUAAAAAAUAUUUUUGAUAACUGUAAGUAUUAAUUAUUAAUAUGGAAAGUAUUUUUAAGGUCUAAAGGAAAUUUCUAUCGCUGGUAUUGAAAAUGAUUUACAUAUAUCUGAAAUUUUGAGAAAACCUGGCUAUUAUUAAAUACAGAAGUGACAGUAGAGAGAAGGAAACGGUACGUGUAAGGGGCCACGAGACUAUUUUCAUUCAUGAAUGAAGCGAUGCGAACGUAAAAGUACUUUAUCCAUCAUAUUCGUUAUCAAGGACAUGGCAAUGCACAGAGUAUUUUUACCACAGAAUUUCCAGCUCUGAGAGUAUCCUAUAAUCCCUAGCGUUCCAGCACAUAUCACGAGUGGCUCUUUCGAAGCUUAUAAUUGUUAGACACAGAACAAAUGUGACUUCUUGAAUAGCGCUGGCUGAAUAAUUUUGAUAAGCCUAUAUAUGCAUAGAUAGGGCAAGCAACGCUUUGUAAGAAUGCGUUCUAAUCGUAAAUGCGUUCAGCAACCAGUGACCUAGAAUGUUAAUACUUUCUCCUUCCUUAAGUAUUCUUUUGUUCUCCGUUCAAAUGCACCUGUAUUGUUCCCGUAACACACAACUGUUCCGUGACAAAGCGAUAACGGGUCACGAAGGUUCCAAUACAAUGUUCAGAGGAGAAUACUACCGACAUAAGUAAACACGUACGAACAGUCGCUGGUGGACCAUCGAAUUGAACUCCGAAAAUAAAACGAUACGUGGCUAAGUAAACUAGAAGAGAAAAUUUUGUUCUCCUCCUAUUUUUUUUUUUUUUUUAAAGCUAUUCGAAACGUAACAUGUUCAAAAUGGAAAUAUAAUAGUGAUCAAUCAGCUACGUCAGAAUUAAAAUGAUUGAUGCGAUGGAUAUUUAAAGUCGUGGAUGGCAAAUAAUGCUUUUUUUGGAAUAUGUUCAUCGAUAAAGAAUUUUGAUAUUAUAUAAUUUUAUGUAUAUUAGUAUUAUUAAUAGAUAGUAUAAUUCAAUAAUGCUACAACGUUAUCAGUAAUAGUAUAAGAUACUUAAAGCUUUUUAGAAUCUUGGUAAGUAUAGAAUUUUAUGCCUAUGAUAGGCUUUCAGCCUUUAAAGUUUGGUAAACUUCAACAUUUAUCAAAAUUUAAAAAUUUCAAAUAUAGAUAUAGGUAUAAUGAAUGUAGAUAUAGUUCAAGUAUAUACAGAUACAAUAUUCAUAAAGUCUAACUUCAAUAAUGUUUGAAAUGAAAAGAUUACGUCCAUCUAAAAAUAGUUAAGUUUAAGGAACCUGUUACAAUUAUUAUAAUAAAAAAAUGAAUUAUUAAAUAGCUGAUAGCACAUAUAACAAAAGAAUCUGUUUAGAAUUCCAAUAAGACAAAAUGGUGUUCCGAAUAAGAUCUUUAAUUAGAGAUAAAGUACUUGCGUAUACAAAGCUCGUUCUAAGCUAAAUAGCGAAACGUAAUUAGAAAAAAAUUAUGCUUGUGGUAAUGAUACAUUAGAAUUGCUAUUUCAUUACAAUAAGGAACCUUGAGCCGUGAUAGUUAAGUAUUGAAACUAGAACGAUUGUUUCUUUUUUUUCUUUGGUAAGACUAACUCCAAUAAUCCCUUGAUUUACUGCAUCUUAUAAUCUUGUUAGUUAAUUAGCAUUUUCUUAUUUACAGCAUGUAUAGAAAAACAAAUUACGUAAACUUAUGUAAAGAUAACAGGAUAUGAAAUGUAACAGGAUUAUCUUAUCGAAUGAAAAUAUAAAUUUGUUCAGCGAAGAAAUGAUAAAGCUAUAAUCGUGAAAGCGUAUGAAGACGGAAAAGAGAUACAAUAAAACGCGAUUUUCUGAGAUGAUGUUGAGAAAAAAGCACGCACGAUCAUGCGACCACAAUAUUACCACACUGUGGAGAUUACAUUCGAGCAGGGAGACACCAGAUUUUCAUCGAUGUCGUUGCGAACUCGAAAGUCUAUGAAAUUUUAUCAAUAUAAUUUGUUGCA